GUCGUGUGCCCCAGUGCUCAUCUCUGCUCAUCUCGGAGGCUUCCUACCUCCAGCCCAAUCCAUCUCCCCUCUAUUUGUCUGGAAACAAACCCGCAAUAUCUCUGAGCUAUGCCUGUAGUCUGGAAUCUAAGGAAACUGCCCCAAAGAAAAAAGAUCAAAACCGGUUUGCAUACCCAUAGACAACAGGAUACACGUACAGUUUUGCCCCAGAGCCAUUUGGUCAUCCCGCAGAACAUCACACUGGGUCCACUUUAUCAACGUUCUGGGCAGCACAGUCCAUACCUGAGGAUAAUGCUCUGAUCCAAGGCCAAGAGAUCAGAGAGGCUGCCUGAACAAGUGGCUCCUCUAUCAAAGGCCCAGAGGUAAGAAGAGUUAGAGGUAAAGAUGAACUCGAAUGUCAGAAGAAAAGGAGGACUGUACACAGUGGGGAAAUGGAGGAGUAUGUCUGGCAUGCAGAUGAUACACACAAGUGUCUCUUGGUAUUCCCUAGUCCAGUUUUGAUAGUAAAUGAAUGAGUGUAGCAACCACAAGCUUAGGAAGGGCAUGACCUUUGCAGACCUCCAGUGAUGAGGGCCUGAGUCACCGUACUGGGUAACCCACGAAGAGCAGACACGCAAGCUAAGGGGAGGCUGUAUCUAGAAUGGACAGCACAGGAGGGAGAAAAUGAUUCAGUUGUGGCCCAAAGGCCAACUACAGCAACAAGGGCCAUAGUCUGCCCCACUAUCAUCCUUCCUCCUGCCCACUGGGACCCUGAAGAGGCUGCUCCCCAAAGCGUAUGAAGAAGUGAAUCUGAGCAAAAUAAAAGGUGAGCUGUGGUCCAAGCGUGCUGCACCACCCAGACUCACCCUGAGGAAUAAG
Prionailurus viverrinus (fishing cat) is the source of this 858-nucleotide long non-coding RNA. RefSeq lists it as uncharacterized. NCBI's taxonomy places the organism in Eukaryota, Metazoa, Chordata, Mammalia, Carnivora, Felidae. The record is from RefSeq and is a predicted model, not a curated record. The transcript has 4 exons.